UACGGGGGGGGGCAAGCGUUGUUCGGAAUUACUGGGCGUAAAGCGCGCGUAGGCGGACCUGCAAGUCGGGGGUGAAAGCCCGAGGCUCAACCUCGGAACUGCCUUCGAUACUGCGGGUCUCGAGUCCGGGAGAGGUGAGUGGAAUUCCUAGUGUAGAGGUGAAAAUUCGUAGAUAUUAGGAAGAACACCAGUGGCGAAGGCGGCUCACUGGCCCGGUACUGACGCUGAGGCGGCGAAA
This 238-nucleotide ribosomal RNA is filed under the name uncultured bacterium. Its description in RNAcentral is "partial 16S ribosomal RNA". It matches the Rfam family "Bacterial small subunit ribosomal RNA", at positions 524 to 758 of the family's 1533-position model. The record is from RNAcentral.